CCUCCUCUGCUACUCACAUGCUCCUACACCUGUCUCAAGGGCGAUUUGUGUGGUAGUGUGGGCACAGAGAUGCGCCUGCUCGAGGUGUAUGCAAUGAAGGUGUGACACAGGGUCAUGGUUUUUGGUGUGACAGUAUGAGGAUGAGAGAACUUGUGGUUAUGCCAAAUGGAUCGACAAACCAUGGCAGGGAAGGGAGAGAAGUGUGAUUGCUAAUCUUGCUAGCAAGAAAGAGGUUCUGGAGAAGAAGCUGAAGGAGAAAGAUGGUGACAUAGAAGCUGUGAAGGAGAAGCAGAGAAUGGAGAAGAGAAUGAUUGCAAUGGAGAUCAGUUGCUAUCCAGAGAUAGGAUGAUAAUGUUUUGCUAUAUUAAUGUAUUUUGGUUUAGUCGCAAUCAUGUUUGCAAUGGCUGGCAGGUCCUGAUGCAUUUUGUUUUAAUGUAUUUUGGUUUAGUUGAGACAAAAUUAGUAUUUUGAUGAACUUAAUGAGAUUUACUACUGAAAUGCUUGGUCUGUGUAUUGAAAGAAAAUGGCAAUUCGAGAUGUUUUGUUU
Non-coding RNA from Triticum urartu, 547 nucleotides. Lineage: Eukaryota; Viridiplantae; Streptophyta; Magnoliopsida; Poales; Poaceae. The record is from RefSeq and is a predicted model, not a curated record.